Molecule: ribosomal RNA, 253 nt
Filed under: uncultured bacterium
Lineage: Bacteria
Description: partial 16S ribosomal RNA
Rfam family: Bacterial small subunit ribosomal RNA
Source: RNAcentral
UACGGGGGGGGUAAGCGUUGUUCGGAAUUACUGGGCGUAAAGGGCUCGUAGGCGGCCAACUAAGUCAGACGUGAAAUCCCUCAGCUUAACUGGGGAACUGCGUCCGAUACUGGAUGGCUUGGAUCCGGAAGAGGGAUGCGGAAUUCCAGGUGUAGCGGUGAAAUGCGUAGAGAUCGGGAGGAAGGCCGGUGGCGAAGGCGGCGCUCUGGAACAUUUCUGACGCUGAGGCUCGAAAGCGUGGGGAGCAAACAGG